GAUGAACGCUGGCGGCGUGCCUAAUACAUGCAAGUCGAGCGAACGGACGAGAAGCUUGCUUCUCUGGUGUUAGCGGCGGACGGGUGAGUAACACGUGGAUAACCUACCUAUAAGACUGGGAUAACUUCGGGAUACCGGAGCUAAUACCGGAUAAUAUUUUGAACCGCAUGGUUCAAAAGUGAAAGACGGUCUUGCUGUCACUUAUAGAUGGAUCCGCGCUGCAUUAGCUAGUUGGUAAGGUAACGGCUUACCAAGGCAACGAUGCAUAGCCGACCUGAGAGGGUGAUCGGCCACACUGGAACUGAGACACGGUCCAGACUCCUACGGGAGGCAGCAGUAGGGAAUCUUCCGCAAUGGGCGAAAGCCUAACGGAGCAACGCCGCGUGAGUGAUGAAGGUCUUCGGAUCGUAAAACUCUGUUAUUAGGGAAGAACAUAUGUGUAAGUAACUGUGCACAUCUUGACGGUACCUAAUCAGAAAGCCACGGCUAACUACGUG
This 497-nucleotide ribosomal RNA is filed under the name uncultured bacterium. RNAcentral's name for it is "partial 16S ribosomal RNA". It matches the Rfam family "Bacterial small subunit ribosomal RNA", at positions 28 to 507 of the family's 1533-position model. The record is from RNAcentral.